CAGCCGCCGCGGGAAUACCGAGGGUGCGAGCGUUAAUCGGAUUUACUGGGCGUAAAGCGUGCGUAGGCGGCUUUUUAAGUCGGAUGUGAAAUCCCUGAGCUUAACUUAGGAAUUGCAUUCGAUACUGGGAAGCUAGAGUAUGGGAGAGGAUGGUAGAAUUCCAGGUGUAGCGGUGAAAUGCGUAGAGAUCUGGAGGAAUACCGAUGGCGAAGGCAGCCAUCUGGCCUAAUACUGACGCUGAGGUACGAAAGCAUGGGGAGCAAACAGGAUUAGAUACCCCCGUAGUCCCUGUCUCUUAUAC
RNAcentral lists this ribosomal RNA (301 nucleotides) under uncultured bacterium. RNAcentral describes it as "partial 16S ribosomal RNA". It matches the Rfam family "Bacterial small subunit ribosomal RNA", at positions 509 to 807 of the family's 1533-position model. The record is from RNAcentral.